This 277-nucleotide ribosomal RNA is filed under the name uncultured bacterium. RNAcentral describes it as "partial 16S ribosomal RNA". The record is from RNAcentral.
CUGCUGCCUUCCGUAGGAGUCUGGUCCGUGUCUCAGUACCAGUGUGGGGGGCCUUCCUCUCAGAACCCCUACGCAUCGUCGCCUCGGUGGGCCGUUACCCCGCCGACUAGCUAAUGCGCCGCAUGCCCAUCCGUGGCCGGGAUUGCUCCCUUUGGCGGCCUUGGGAUGUCCCUAGGCCGCGUUACGCGGUAUUAGACGGGGUUUCCCCCGCUUAUCCCCCUGCCACGGGCAGGUUGCAUACGUGUUACUCACCCCGUGCGCCGGUCGCCGGCAACGG